Molecule: long non-coding RNA, 2558 nt
Organism: Lepisosteus oculatus (spotted gar)
Lineage: Eukaryota; Metazoa; Chordata; Actinopteri; Semionotiformes; Lepisosteidae
Source: Ensembl
CAACACUGUAUGUUUUAAGUACUGUAAAAGAAGAUACAAUAUUUUCCAUAGAUGUGUUAGUAAAUAUGAUUGACCGUGUUUUCUUUGUUUCCACAGCAGUGAGAACAGUGUGAUUCAUGCUGACACGGUUUACAGAUUUACAGAAGGAGACAUCAAGACGCGCAGUGGUUUGCUCAAUGCAAUCUUCAUUACCAGCGGCCUUCCAGACACAACAACUGCACCUCCUACGACACUCCCACCAACUUCAGCUCCCGCUGCACCAAAGAGGUCAGUGAUGGCUGGACUAAGACUGGAGUUCAACACCACAAACCAAACUCUCAGUGCAACUGCGAUAGUCAAACAAUUCACUGCCUUCCUGGCUCCUUAUACAUCUCUGGGAGUCUACACAAUCAACAUCACCAAUAUCACUUACUACAACACAACAGCGAGCUUCUUUGCUGUCAAUAUCAACUUCGUCUUCAGCAACCUGACCGUUCCAGGAGGAGCUAAUUUAACCAAUGAGACUUACAGCACAAUCCAGAACAGCAUGAAUGAGCUGCUUCUUAUAAUUCUUGGAACGCCAAACUACAAGCAAUUCACCUUCCCCCGUGUCAAUGUCAUCAGUAUGAGCAGUGUAAUUCAUGCCAAUACGGUGUACAGAUUUACAGAAGGCGACAUUGAAAUGCGCAGUAGUCUGCUGAAUGACAUUUUCAUCACCAGUGCUCAGCCAUCUCCAACUACACUGGCUCCCCUUAUAAGAAAUGGGAGGGCACUUCUGUUCAUCAGACUGGAGUUCAACACCACAAAGCCAGCUCCUUCUGAGGCGCAGGUGUUGCAAAUAGCUAAUCAAUUCAUUGUCAAUGCCUUUAAGUCACGGGAAACAUACCAAGUGACAUUUGGAAAUGUGUCCUAUGAGAGGAUGAGUGCAAAUUCAUUUGCCAUCAUUCUGGGAUUCAGUAUUGCAAACCUGCCUGUUACAGAUACCUUUCAAUUUAGAAACGAAACGUACACUGAAGUUGAAAGCGCUGUGAACUCCUUGUUGAGCAACAUCCUCGGGCAACCAAAUUCCACCCUGUUCAAGUUCCCUUCCAUCGAUUUCAGAAAUGUGAGCAGUGUGAUUCGUGCCAGUGUGGUGUAUCAAUUCAAAGAUGGAGACAUCUCAGGGCCCAGUGGUUUCCUGAAUAGUAUCCUCAUUCUCAGUGGUGACCUAACUACAACAGUAGCUCCCAGUCCCACUGUCCUCCUGACCUCAUUAACAGCCACCACAGCCAGUAAAGGGGGUUUCCCAGGCUGGGCCCUGGCUAUCAUCAUCCCCUGUGGGAUUGCAAUUAUCCUGGUUCCCCUUUGGAUCCUUUUGUGUUGUCUGCUGUGUGGCUGCUGUGCUGCUUGCAGAAGGAGAUGGCACAGAAGACGAUCAUACCAUGUGCAAUACACAACAAGAAAUGGGCUUUUCUGAGGGGUGUUCCAAAUGUGUCGCACAAAUCUGCCACAGUUACAGUACAACCAUUUUCAUCUCCAGGAAACACUGGUCAGCCUUUUCUUCCUCACUCUUCAAGCAUAACAGCUGAGAACGAAAGUCAAUCCACUGCAGGACGGAAGCACCACAUUGCCUCUUUAAAGCCAUGAAAAACUGCUUCUAGUGCUGACAAUAAGAAUGGCAGCUCCCGUAAUCGAAAAUACCAAUCUGGAAGAUGAAUUUUUGGCAAAAUUAAAAACAUGUUUUUUUGCUGCCAGACACGUAUUGGUAUAUGUUUUUCUCUGUGGACUACAGCCACUAACCACAACCAAAAACUCAGCAAGAAAAUGCUUUCAGUUUUGUUCAUCUUUCUUAAUAUUCUAAACAUAAAGCCUACACAUGACUGUUGUUCCUUCUAGGCACAAUGUUUCUCUUCUGAAAUCCAAGAUGCUUUAUUAUUACCCUUUUUCUCUGCUGAGCAGUCAGGAAAACAUCUGAGUGAAAUUGAAGGAAAUGGAGUUGAUCUCUGAACAAAAUGACCAGUGAGCUGUACUCCCUUGGAUGCUCUCAGGAAGCAGACUGAAGAUCUGAGCUGACUGUUACUCAAUUCUUCCACUUGAACUGUGCCACUUCUAAUGAGACAGGAAGUCUUUUGCAAUUUCUUAUCUAUCUUACUGCACAGCUGGUCAGUGCAGGUUAUUUAUUAUAAGCAGUAAAAGAUAUCAAAGACUUAUUAAGUUACAUACCUGUAUAUGCUUUACUUAUUGCUAGCAGUAUUGUAUUUAUUUUAUAAAGCUCUGCUGAUCACUAUCAUGAAACUGUUUGACACAGAGUAGACCAUGUGAAAGAGCAAUAUUCUCCUAAGGGAAAGAGGGUUAUAAAUUCUAAAUCAAAUUUAUUUUUAUACUAUUUAUUAAAUCAAUGUAUUUAAUGAAUGUAUAGACAAUCUUAUACUACUUAUUAUUUAUUGUUUGGUUGAUUAUUUUCUUGUUAGAUGGAUGCAGUGUACUUCAGAGUGAGGAUCUGUAUUUGCCUGAGUAUGAGUGAUAUGAAAAUAUUUAGAUCAUUAAAUGCAUGCAAAAUAUUAUUUUAUGAAUCAAAUAAAAAUCUAUAAAAUCUACAC